UACGUAGGUGGCAAGCGUUAUCCGGAUUUACUGGGUGUAAAGGGCGUGUAGGCGGGACUGCAAGUCAGAUGUGAAAAUUAUGGGCUCAACCCAUAACCUGCAUUUGAAACUGUAGUUCUUGAGUGAUGGAGAGGCAGGCGGAAUUCCGUGUGUAGCGGUGAAAUGCGUAGAUAUACGGAGGAACACCAGUGGCGAAGGCGGCCUGCUGGACAUUAACUGACGCUGAGGCGCGAAAGCGUGGGGAUCAAACAGG
RNAcentral lists this ribosomal RNA (253 nucleotides) under uncultured bacterium. Its description in RNAcentral is "partial 16S ribosomal RNA". It matches the Rfam family "Bacterial small subunit ribosomal RNA", at positions 524 to 776 of the family's 1533-position model. The record is from RNAcentral.